AAGGCAGUCGGUAAAAUGAGGUCAACUUCUUUAAUUUUUUUUUGUGGCGAUAGUAGCACUGACAUACGCUAGAAGCUAUGAAGAUAUAAAAGAAGAAAUAAAAAAUGAAGUUGAAAAUGAAAUUAUGGACAAUCUUGAAGAAGAAAACGAUGAGUUAGAUGACAAUUCUCAAGAAGUCAAUGAUCCAAGAGCACGAAGAUGGCGCCGAGCAUUCCGUCGAAUCCGUAUCAGACAGGUAGUUCCAUAUAUACCACAUCUAAUAAAAGCUUACCAAACCGGCAAAAAGUAAUAGCAAAAAUGAAUGGAAAAUCAAA
This is a non-coding RNA of Hydra vulgaris (swiftwater hydra), 314 nucleotides long. NCBI's taxonomy places the organism in Eukaryota, Metazoa, Cnidaria, Hydrozoa, Anthoathecata, Hydridae. The record is from RefSeq and is a predicted model, not a curated record.